CAAGGGACAGGACAAGGGGAAAAGGCCCCAAGUUGCACCAGGGGAGGCUCAGAUUGGAUAUCAGGAGGAAUUUCUUCAUGGAAAGGAUUUUUAAACAUUGGAAGGGGCUGCCCAGGGAGGUGGUGCAGUCCUCAUCCCUGGAGGUGUCCAAGGAAUGACUGGCCAUGGCACUCAGUGCUCUGGGCUGGGUGACAAGAUGGGGAUCAGUCACAAGUUGGACUUGAUGAUCUUGGAGGUCUCUUCCAACCUAAAUCAUUCUUGGAUUUACAUUGAUUCAGCUGAGCAGAUACAGCAAAGCCCUGGGUGCUCCAAGCACGUCCUUCCUGAGCUGAAAACACCCUUUUCUUCCACUCUCUGCACUCUCAGGGUCAUGGGGACAACAGAAUCUUUUCUUUUUCCCUCUGCAGCAUCCCAGACAACUCAGCCUGGAAAAUGGAUUGCUGAGGUGAUAUGAUGGAAGUUUGAGAUCUAUUAGCCUGGAAAAUCAUGGAAUGACACGAUAGAUAAUACUGUAAAUUCAGGAAGAAUUUCUUCAUGGAAAGGGUUGUCAAACAUUGGAAGGGGCUGCCCAGGGAGGUGGUGGAGUCCUCAUCCCUGGAGGUGUCCCAGGAAUGACUGGACGUGGCACUCAGUGCUCUGGGCUGGGUGAGAAGGUGGGGAUCAGUCACAAGUUGGACUUGAAGAUCUUGAAGGUCUUUUCCAUCCUAAGUGAUUCUAUGAAAUGCAAAAAGAUCCAGAAAAUCCGACCUACAGCACCUGUUGCCUCAGAGAUGUCACAUAAGAAGAAGGAAUAACCUGCUUUUAUUUCAAUAAAAGGACUAUUAAAUUCCA
RNAcentral lists this long non-coding RNA (831 nucleotides) under Manacus vitellinus (golden-collared manakin). Its description in RNAcentral is "lncRNA (ENSMVIG00005014032.1)". Lineage: Eukaryota; Metazoa; Chordata; Aves; Passeriformes; Pipridae. The record is from RNAcentral.